Molecule: small nuclear RNA, 178 nt
Organism: Struthio camelus australis
Lineage: Eukaryota; Metazoa; Chordata; Aves; Struthioniformes; Struthionidae
Gene: U2
Rfam family: U2 spliceosomal RNA
About the family: U2 is a small nuclear RNA (snRNA) component of the spliceosome (involved in pre-mRNA splicing). Complementary binding between U2 snRNA (in an area lying towards the 5' end but 3' to hairpin I) and the branchpoint sequence (BPS) of the intron results the bulging out of an unpaired adenosine, on the BPS, which initiates a nucleophilic attack at the intronic 5' splice site, thus starting the first of two transesterification reactions that mediate splicing.
Source: Ensembl
AUACAAUCUAACCGUAGACUGUAAAAAAAAUCUUAUCAGUUUAAUAUCUGAUACGUCCUCGAUGAGAGGACUUUAUAUUAAACGGAUUUUUGGGCGCGGGAGUUGGACCCGGAGCUUGCUCCCUCCGCUCCGCGCAUCGUCCCGGUAUUGCAGUGCCUCCGGGAACGGUGCACCUCCU